This 3632-nucleotide long non-coding RNA is filed under the name Citrus maxima (pomelo). RNAcentral describes it as "long non-coding RNA (CMAX_LNC003495)". The record is from RNAcentral. Lineage: Eukaryota; Viridiplantae; Streptophyta; Magnoliopsida; Sapindales; Rutaceae.
UCUCCAAUCCCCCUUUUUUUCACAAUAGAUUCCUCCCUUAAAUACUCUCUCUCUCUUCUCCUCUAGAGUUCUAUUUAAAAUAAAAUACUAAUAUCUAAAAUAUUAAAUUCGUAAUUACAAAAAUAACCAAAAAUACAAAACACGUUAAACUAAAAACUGUAGGUCCGUAGUUGACAGCACGCGCCCACGCCUUAUCAAUAAAGUUCUUCUGACGCUCAUUAUUUCUUCAAAAGAACAAUCAUCCUUAAACAUCAUCUUGUAGCUCAAUUUUAGCACCAAUCAAUAGAAUUGCACCUAUAAAAGUAAAACACAAGUAAAUCACUAUUAUUAAGUGCAAAACAUCGAUAUUAAGGGAAGCAAACAAUGCAAAACUAGUGCAUAAAUUGCACUCUAACAAAUUCCCCCACACCAAGAUGAUGCUUGUCCUCAAGCAUAUAACUCAAGACUAAUCACAAAUCUCCGCUCAAUUCUCAUCUCAACUCAUCCAAAAACAAUUUUAAGCAAGCAUACCUCAAGAAAUUAAGUCGAUCAUCAUUCGAAAGACAAGGAUUUUAAAGCAUAGAAUCUCAUAAGAUAGAAGAAGAACAUUCAACCACCAAGAAGAUCCAUUCAAAAUUCAACUGCAAUAAGAUUUAAUAGCCCUCUCAUUGACUUCACUCCAUUCACUCAAAGUGUUUAGGGUAUCAUUUAUGCACUCAAAUCAAAUCAAAUAAUGCUAUUACCAUAAGCUUGCUCAUAUAUCACAUCUCAAUCCACAAAACAUGAAUAAAAUGCAAAAAUCUAAGGGUCUUAAAAAGGUUGUAAUGGGGUUAAAUAAGUUAAAUGAAAAAGAAAGGUCUACGAAAGAAAAAGAGAUCAAAAUGAGAAGAAUGAACUCAUUGAAUGAACUUAUGAUAUCAAAAUGCUUAUUUCUACUCAAGUCACCAAGAAUGUAAACAUUUUUUUUCUUUUUUUCGAUUUUUGUCUUUUUUUUCUUUUUUUUUAAUCAAAAGAAAAGAAACGAACCUUGCACAAUUUAAUUCAAGCAUAAUGCUUGUUGAUCUAAUUGAGAAACUUUAAUACAAGGUAGAAAAAGCAACAAAAUAUAUACAAAAUAUAUCCGCACAAUGAGUCCAAAAAUCUCCUUAAAUUGAGGCUCAAAAAGAAGAAAAAUUGUUAAGUAGACAAAGAGAAUUAGAUGGAUAAUGGUUAAGACUCAAACAAAGAUAGCAAAUAAAGGUCUUCGGGUAGAAAAAAAAAAGAAAAUGCGAGAAACAAAUGUUUACAUAGAAACAAAUGGCGCGCAGUCGAUUUGUCAAUCUAGUACCACUCUCGUAUACUUGGUGAGAUUCGGCUAUACCAAAUUUGUAGCCUAUAUUUUACUUUAAUGAGAAAAUCAAAUAAUGUUUGAACAAAUAAUUUUCUUUUUUCUAUAUACUUUCUUAAAAUGUAUGGAGUGGGUAAAGUACAAAUUGUUUUUUUAGCCCUUUGACUCCUCCAAAAUUCGAACUCAAUUUAAUGUCAAUUAAAAUAAUGCUACUUGAAAAUCAUUCAACCAAAUAUCGUAAAAACUAUAAUUUUACGAAGUGAAAGUUUCACUGAUUAUUGAAUUAUAGAACAUGCUAUCAUUUCCUAGUUAGAAUUUGUUUAAUUCUAUUAAUUUACAAUCAUUCUUUAUUUUAUUCAAUUAAUUAAAGUGAAUUUGUUUUGUAUAAGUUCUAUAUAUGUAAAAUUUUAAAAUUCAGUGUUGAACUUAAUUGUACUAAACCUUUUAUAAUUUUUUAUCACAUCUGCAUGUUUAACAGUCUAGUAUUAAUAUUGAUAGCACAUAAUAUAUAGGAUCAAGAGACAUUGAUUUCGGGUGCCACAAGAUUUUUAGGAUUGCAUGCACAAGGGCUUACAAGAUUUUUAGGAUUGCAUGUAGGGGUGGGCGCGGUUCAGUUCGGUUCGAUUUUUAACUAAAUUUUUCAUAAUCGUUCAAUUACGAUUAUUUUAAAAUCAUAAUGGCAAUUAAUCAAAUUACCGAAAUAAUCAAGUACUCGAUUAAUCAAAAUAAUUCGAUUUGAUUCAGUUCGAUAAUUUCGAUUAUGAGCUUAUUGGACCUAUUUUGGGUUUUUUUAAAUUUAAAACCUUAAAUUAAUAAAUCUACCACAAACAUAAAAAAGUUAACAAACGAUUUGUUUCUUAGUUAAAAGUUUUUAAUCUUUUACUGCUUUUAUUAUUAUCCCAUUUUCGUGAUUGUUGGUAAAUGUGUCAAAUCAUAGGUGGAAAGCCUCUACAAAAUAAAAAUUAACCAAAAAAUCAAUUAAGAUUAUAGUUUAAUUAAGGAUCCAUACAGAGUUAGUUAGCAGAACCAGCUGGAAAAUGUUUUUGUCUGAACCUGUUGCAGAAAAUUAAUACUUGCUAGCGUUUUUUAUUAAUUAAUUUAGUUAUGAAUAUACAAACUUAAAAAGUCAUGAAUGAGACGUGUUUGAACUUGCUUUAGUUUUCAUCAGUAGUAAAGAUAGCACCGGCAAUUCACAGCACCAUCAUUUAGUUAUGAACUUGCUUUACGUGCUCUGGAAAUAUCAGUCAUUUUACAAAUGAAAAAGAAAUCAAGAUUUCAUGUUUCACCAUGCUUGGGUUGCUAUCAAACAUAGCAACACCAAAAAAUCAAAUCCAGUGAAGGAGAAUUACCAAAUACAAGGUCAAGAUUCCACCAUAUUAUCAAAAUUGACAUUUGACCGUCAUUAGUAGCAUUAAUUGUUUUGUAGCGUACAGAGCCACACAAAACACUAAGACUAAAGAAAUCAAAGAUGAAAACAAACACCAUAUCACAUUAAACAUUUUCAAACACGGCUCUAAGAUAUAAAAAUCAUGAUCAAUCUCAACAGUAUCCAGUUUGCGAUUUGGGAAAAGAAACUGAAAAAACCAAUCAUUCAAUCAUCUUUCAGCCAAAGAAACAAACCAUAUCUCACCCAAAUGGGGGAAAAGAAAAAACAAAAGAAUGAAUCAUAAAUCACAAAUCAAUUUUGGUAUACAAAUUACUAGUCAUGGUUAUAACUAAAUACAACAUCUCAAGUGAACGAACCUCAACAAAUUAUGAAACGAAACACGAAACAAUCAGCAGUAGCUCAAGUUAUUGGUUUUUAUUCUCUGCAAAAACAGAACAAACCAGAGAAAUGAGAGACAAAAACAGCAGCGAUAUUUACAUAACUCAAGCACAUUAACAAAAACAUGGGAACGAGGAAAAAGAAAUGAACUUUAAACCAAAUUCAUAAAACCGAAACGAAAAAUGGAACUUUUUUGUUCGAUUUUUUGUUCUGCUGAGAGAUUUUGUUGACAAAAACAAAAGAACCCAGAAAUGCUAAAGAGGAAGAGAGAGAAAUCAAUACGUGAUCGUAGUGUUAAAAAAAAAAAAAACCUCACAACAGUAGUCAGAUGGCAGCAGGGGAGCACCGUGACAGCAGCAACAAUUGAUAGUAGGUGACAGCGGCAAGUGACAGUGGCAGCAGCAGCAGAUGACAGCGGCUACAGCAGGUGGUAGCGGCGGCGGAGAGUCGUGAAGGACAAGCAGCAGCAGCAGCGGGGACGAGAUUCCAGCGGCUGAAGGUGCUGCGGCUUCGGUUUUCGGCUGAAGAUCAGAAGAAAUGAAGAAUGUGUUUAGUUUAGAC